CAUACUAAAAAGACUUUAAGAGAUUAGAGUGUGCUAGCUUGCUAGAAUUUAGAUACAGGUGCUGCACGGCUGUCGUCAGCUCGUGUCGUGAGAUGUUGGGUUAAGUCCCGCAACGAGCGCAACCUCGUGUUUAGUUGCUAACAGUUCGGCUGAGAACUCUAAACAGACUGCCUACGCAAGUAGGAGGAAGGUGAGGACGACGUCAAGUCAUCAUGGCCCUUACGGCCAGGGCUACACACGUGCUACAAUGGGGUAUACAAAGAGCAGCGAUACGGUGACGUGGAGCAAAUCUAGAAAAUGCCUCUCAGUUCGGAUUGUAGUCCGCAACUCGACUACAUGAAGUUGGAAUCGCUAGUAAUCGUAGAUCAGCAAUGCUACGGUGAAUACGUUCCCGGGUCUU
Molecule: ribosomal RNA, 400 nt
Filed under: uncultured Arcobacter sp.
Lineage: Bacteria; Pseudomonadati; Campylobacterota; Epsilonproteobacteria; Campylobacterales; Arcobacteraceae
Description: bacterial SSU rRNA
Rfam family: Bacterial small subunit ribosomal RNA
Source: RNAcentral